This 371-nucleotide ribosomal RNA is filed under the name uncultured organism. RNAcentral describes it as "bacterial SSU rRNA". It matches the Rfam family "Bacterial small subunit ribosomal RNA", at positions 527 to 896 of the family's 1533-position model. The record is from RNAcentral.
CGGGGGGGCAAGCGUUGUUCGGAAUUACUGGGCGUAAAGGGCGCGUAGGCGGCUUGUUAAGUCGGGUGUGAAAACUCUGGGCUCAACCCAGAGCCUGCAUUCGAAACUGAUGAGCUAGAGUUCUGGAGGGGAAAGCGGAAUUCCUGGUGUAGCAGUGAAAUGCGUAGAUAUCAGGAGGAACACCGGUGGCGAAGGCGGCUUUCUGGACAGAAACUGACGCUGAUGCGCGAAAGCUAGGGGAGCAAACAGGAUUAGAUACCCUGGUAGUCCUAGCCCUAAACGAUGGAUACUUGCUGUGAGGGGGAUUGAAUCCCUUCGUGGCGAAGCUAACGCAUUAAGUAUCCCGCCUGGGGAGUACGGUCGCAAGGCUG